UACAGAGGGUGCGAGCGUUGUCCGGAAUCACUGGGCGUAGAGGGCGCGUAGGUGGUGGCUUAAGCGUGCGGUGAAAGCUCGGGGCUCAACUCCGAGUCGGCCGUGCGAACUGGGCUCACUGGAGCAUAGUAGAGGCAGGUGGAAUUCCGGGUGUAGCGGUGGAAUGCGUAGAGAUCCGGAAGAACACCGGUGGCGAAGGCGGCCUGCUGGGCUAUGGCUGACACUGAGGCGCGACAGCGUGGGGAGCAAACAGG
Molecule: ribosomal RNA, 254 nt
Filed under: uncultured bacterium
Lineage: Bacteria
Description: partial 16S ribosomal RNA
Rfam family: Bacterial small subunit ribosomal RNA
Source: RNAcentral